Long non-coding RNA from Oreochromis aureus, 417 nucleotides. RefSeq lists it as uncharacterized. The record is from RefSeq and is a predicted model, not a curated record. NCBI's taxonomy places the organism in Eukaryota, Metazoa, Chordata, Actinopteri, Cichliformes, Cichlidae. The transcript has 4 exons.
GGAAUAAUUUCUGGAAUCAUAUUUACAUUCUUGCUGCUCUUGUUCUGUUGCUACAGAAAAUCCAGAGGUUCUACUGAUGACCAGAGGGUCAGUCAGGUAGAAGAUCAACAGCAAGUAUACUCCUCUCUUCUUCAUGGUGACCGUUGUGUCUAUGAGUCUAUCAGAUGGUCUAAAAACACAGAAAAUGGUCUGGGUCAGGGUAGCAGCAGCCAAAGCAGAGAAGCCCACACCUCCGUCUCCCCAGCCACCUCCUCCAGCUUAUCUGCGGGAACGCUGAGGUGCUCGCAGGCCAGCCGAGAGACUUAAUCUCUCAAGUGUAUUCUGGGUCUGCCCUGGGUUUCGUCUUGGUCGACCCCAAAGGAACCAAAUCAAGUGACUAGUCUACCCUACCCGGGAUAGGCUUACCAAACAUGAUAA